Molecule: long non-coding RNA, 318 nt
Organism: Hemibagrus wyckioides
Lineage: Eukaryota; Metazoa; Chordata; Actinopteri; Siluriformes; Bagridae
Exons: 3
Source: RefSeq, a predicted model, not a curated record
AAAUAGCAAAGUCACUUUGAUCAAGCUGUCUGAAGGACUAGGACACAUCGUUUGCUUCCCCCAAAUUUCAGUUAGGUGACUUAAUGCAGAGUUACUGUGUUGAUUUUCUGAGGGAUUUUCAUCACAUUUCUUCAGAGACACAUCAGUGAUGAAACAACAUCUGUUCAUACUCCUGUUUAUCACAGGAGUCCUCCCUGUCACCCAGACUAUCUAUCGCAGGUUCCACCUGAACCUACAGGGGAAGAUGUGGAGUGAUGCUCAGGCUUACUGCAGGGCCAUGUACACUGACCUGGCUACCUUUGAAAACCAUGAUGAAGC